Molecule: ribosomal RNA, 701 nt
Filed under: uncultured Lachnospiraceae bacterium
Lineage: Bacteria; Bacillati; Bacillota; Clostridia; Lachnospirales; Lachnospiraceae
Description: bacterial SSU rRNA
Rfam family: Bacterial small subunit ribosomal RNA
Source: RNAcentral
GGCGUGCUUAACACAUGCAAGUCGAACGGGAAUUACUUUAUUGAACACUUCGGUCGAUUUAAUUUAAUUCUAGUGGCGGACGGGUGAGUAACGCGUGGGUAACCUGCCUUAUACAGGGGGAUAACAGUCAGAAAUGGCUGCUAAUACCGCAUAAGCGCACAGAGCUGCAUGGCUCAGUGUGAAAAACUCCGGUGGUAUAAGAUGGACCCGCGUUGGAUUAGCUGGUUGGUGGGGUAACGGCCCACCAAGGCGACGAUCCAUAGCCGGCCUGAGAGGGUGAACGGCCACAUUGGGACUGAGACACGGCCCAGACUCCUACGGGAGGCAGCAGUGGGGAAUAUUGCACAAUGGGGGAAACCCUGAUGCAGCGACGCCGCGUGAAGGAAGAAGUAUCUCGGUAUGUAAACUUCUAUCAGCAGGGAAGAUAGUGACGGUACCUGACUAAGAAGCCCCGGCUAACUACGUGCCAGCAGCCGCGGUAAUACGUAGGGGGCAAGCGUUAUCCGGAUUUACUGGGUGUAAAGGGAGCGUAGACGGUGUGGCAAGUCUGAUGUGAAAGGCAUGGGCUCAACCUGUGGACUGCAUUGGAAACUGUCAUACUUGAGUGCCGGAGGGGUAAGCGGAAUUCCUAGUGUAGCGGUGAAAUGCGUAGAUAUUAGGAGGAACACCAGUGGCGAAGGCGGCUUACUGGACGGUAACUG